CCCGCAACGAGCGCAACCCUUUUCCUUAUUUGCCAGCGGGUUAAGCCGGGAACUUUAAGGAUACUGCCAGUGACAAACUGGAGGAAGGCGGGGACGACGUCAAGUCAUCAUGGCCCUUACGACCAGGGCUACACACGUGCUACAAUGGUAGGUACAGAGGGUUGCUACACAGCGAUGUGAUGCUAAUCUCAAAAAGCCUAUCGUAGUCCGGAUUGGAGUCUGCAACUCGACUCCAUGAAGUCGGAAUCGCUAGUAAUCGCAGAUCAGAAUGCUGCGGUGAAUAC
Molecule: ribosomal RNA, 284 nt
Filed under: Moraxella sp. January_NA4B5
Lineage: Bacteria; Pseudomonadati; Pseudomonadota; Gammaproteobacteria; Moraxellales; Moraxellaceae
Description: partial 16S ribosomal RNA
Rfam family: Bacterial small subunit ribosomal RNA
Source: RNAcentral